UAAUUUCUUAGAAUCUAACAACUAAAUCCAAGAACCAAAUUUUAAAUUUCCCUUUGCUCCCAAAUGUCCUCCGCCUCUAUAUCAUCUUCCAUCACCGCCAGAAUCCUCGCUUCAUAUUCCACACUGCCCUUUUCUUUCUCCUGAAGAAGAAAAGUUCCCAUUUUUGUCGCCGAAACCCCUGAAGAAUAAAAGCUCCCAUUUUUGUUCCCGCUACCACUUUUCAAAAUCCUCGACGCAAUACCCAAUAAAAGCACACCAGUGACUACGGCGAACCAUUUUUUCAGCGGCUCGGGGGUAGCGGCGGAGGUAGGCACGUGAUUUUGUUGUUACUAGGGCAUUUAAUGGAGAGAUUGAGAGACUGGGGGAGAAGAGGAAGGAAAGAAUAGCGGUGAGCGUGAUAUGGGUUGAGAUUAAGAGAAGAGGAAGGAGAAGAGGGAGCGUAUUGAGAGUGAGGAAUGAGAAGAUAGGAGAGGGAAGGAGCCAUGGAAA
RNAcentral lists this unclassified non-coding RNA (489 nucleotides) under Hevea brasiliensis (rubber tree). Lineage: Eukaryota; Viridiplantae; Streptophyta; Magnoliopsida; Malpighiales; Euphorbiaceae. The record is from RNAcentral.